RNAcentral lists this small RNA (125 nucleotides) under Marmota monax (woodchuck). The record is from RNAcentral. Lineage: Eukaryota; Metazoa; Chordata; Mammalia; Rodentia; Sciuridae.
GCUGGGCAUGGUGGCGCAUGCCUGUAAUCCCAGCAGCUUGGUAGGCUGAGGUGGGAGGAUUGUGAGUUCCGAGCCAGUCUCAGCAAAAGCGAGGCAUUAAGCAACUCCGUGAGACCCUGUCUCUA